AGUGAACGCUGGCGGUAGGCCUAACACAUGCAAGUCGAACGGCAGCACAGUAAGAGCUUGCUCUUACGGGUGGCGAGUGGCGGACGGGUGAGGAAUACAUCGGAAUCUACUUUUUCGUGGGGGAUAACGUAGGGAAACUUACGCUAAUACCGCAUACGACCUACGGGUGAAAGCAGGGGAUCUUCGGACCUUGCGCGAUUGAAUGAGCCGAUGUCGGAUUAGCUAGUUGGCGGGGUAAAGGCCCACCAAGGCGACGAUCCGUAGCUGGUCUGAGAGGAUGAUAAGCCACACUGGAACUGAGACACGGUCCAGACUCCUACGGGAGGCAGCAGUGGGGAAUAUUGGACAAAGGGCGCAAGCCUGAUCCAGCCAUACCGCGUGGGUGAAGAAGGCCUUCGGGUUGUAAAGCCCUUUUGUUGGGAAAGAAAAGCAGCAGGUUAAUACCCCGCUGUUCUGACGGUACCCAAAGAAUAAGCACCGGCUAACUUCGUG
RNAcentral lists this ribosomal RNA (492 nucleotides) under uncultured bacterium. RNAcentral's name for it is "partial 16S ribosomal RNA". It matches the Rfam family "Bacterial small subunit ribosomal RNA", at positions 29 to 507 of the family's 1533-position model. The record is from RNAcentral.